CCAUGUAAACGAAAAGCUAUCGCAGAAACUCUUAUGGCCGUGGCCGCUCUCAGGCUUCUCUCUGGUGUUACGUAUAUGGUAGGAGACGUCUCUUUCUGCUACGGCACAUGUGAUUUCGCGUGCAUUACGUAGUGGUCUUUCUGUCGUCUGGUUUCUGACAGGUGCGGGAAUAUAAACAAAGAGUUGUCAUAAAAAAUGCAUCUAACCAUUCCAUCAUUAUAUGCUGUUCGGUUGUCACUAAAUAUAUUUCAGGAAGCAAGUCCUUUGUAUAGAGCCAGCAGAUUAGAUCGUAGUACAACAACAUAUGCAAUUUUCCUUGCAACUUUUGGGUUAUCUAUGAGCAUGUUUUCUUUAAAUCAGAUGAAGUUGUCAUAUCAGCGUCGGCAUCUGCAAAGAUCUUAGAGAUCUCAAUCGCGACAAACGAUAGCAUCAGGCAAUUCAAAACAUUGAAUAAAUUUAUCAGUCAUGAAUACUAUACUAUUUUCGAAUCAAUAUCAAGACAUAAUGAAACUUGCACUUAAUAGAUUAAACUUGUGGUUCACAUGUGAACUGCAGUUCUGCUAUAUAUUUUUCUUUUGGAGUAUAAACAAUAGACCUACAUAUUUAAAUUAUCAUGAUGAUGUACCUGUAUCAUGCAAAAUUGUGCAUACACCUGUGUUUUAGUUAUAUCAAUUUUAAUACUUUGUAACAUUAACACUUGUAACUAGGUAGACGUAAACCAGUGUAUUUUUAUCAAAACAUCUAUUUUAAGCAAAAAAUCAGCCAAAUAUACUUUUUGAAACAAGUGUGAUAAGUUGGUUAUUAGUAUAUCGUGAAAACGAUAUAGUAUUCUUGAACAGUGUUUUUGUAAAAUAAUGCAAUCUUGCGAAUGGAUGCUACCUUUUGAGAAAUUUAAAAGAACUACAACUAUUAUACAAUUGGACUUCAAUUAAGUAAAAUUAUUUGGGACCUAAUGUAUCUAAACCAGUACAGCAAUUUUCCGCAAAC
This is a long non-coding RNA of Pseudomyrmex gracilis, 987 nucleotides long. RefSeq lists it as uncharacterized. The transcript has 3 exons. The record is from RefSeq and is a predicted model, not a curated record. Lineage: Eukaryota; Metazoa; Arthropoda; Insecta; Hymenoptera; Formicidae.